CCUCCCAAAACCGAACCAACCAAAGCAAAAACCGCCGUCUCCUCUUCCUUCUUCUAUAGUAAAUGAUUGAGAUGCCCAAUUCUGAUGUUGUUUAGCGAGAUUCAGAGGUGUAGAGGAGAGAUGGAGUGGGCGAUGAAGAUCUCCGACGAUGCCUGGGCCUCCUCCCUCGCCGCACCGACACCAGCGGACGGCGACGACCAUCAAGGGCCACGCUUUGCGAUGAAUCAGAGCCCGCUGGCAUGGCAGUUGGAGAACGUUGUUGCCGCCCCUACCAGCCCUAGCCCGACUCCGGAUCACAUCCCUAAGUCUAUUUCCUGUGCUCCUCCCUCUGAUCCUUGCGGUGGAGCGGUGCAGGAUGGUGAGAUGAUGGAGAUCGAGGCCCCUGUUUCCGUCGAUGAUCAGCCAUCCAAUCCCUUCGCUGGCGUCGAUCCACAGGAGUACGCCUCGCUUCUGAAGCGGAAGCUUGAUCUGUGCUGCGCCGCAGUUGCCAUGUCUCGGGUACUUCUUCCCUCCUUUUCUAGCUGGAAAUUUCUGUUCUUGGGUAAUUACCAAAUGUUAAUUUGCUAUGACCGAGUGCCUUCAUCUUGUUCAAAGCACUUCAGGGCCUUGUCCUUGGAAGAUUUUGCUGGCAAACUGAUGGGUAACUUCAGCGUAUUGUCGAAUCUUAGACAGUUUCAUCCUAAACUAUUCAGCUUUAGCAGUUCCAGAAUUUUCUCUGUCUUGGUCCUAUCCUUACUAGUUCGAUCUAAGCUACGCCACUAGUCUUUUAACUUUGGUGAAAGUUUUUGUUGGGUUUCUAAACUUUAAUUUUGUCAAUUGACUUACAAAACGUUAGUUCAUGUUUGAGUCAAACCCUACUGUCAGCUAAUCUCCAUAAACAGUAGUGGAGAUCUGGCCUGCUGCACAGUAGAACUUUUUUAAUAUUUAGGAUAUAACCCCAAAAUCAUAAACACUAGUGUCUAAGAAAACAGCUGUAAAGAGUUAAAGGUUUCAAUUAUUUCAAUUUUAUUUUAAACUAAGUAAUAAACACAAAUAACUUGCAAUUUAUCCAUAUAUUUUCAGCUUCAAACCAAAAUUUUCUCUUUAAACAUUAUUGACUUCUAGAAGAAUAUAUUGGUGACAGAAUCUAGUUAUUGCUACUAGAUAUGCAUGACAAUCGAGAUAUGUGAUCACUAAAUUGAUUUUAAUAUCUUUUACCAUUUUUAUACAUUUAUUUAUUCUCACCAUACUACCACUGAACACCAUAGUGACAAUGAUGCAUUUGAUUUUUGGAAUGUUGUAUAACAUUUUUCUCUAGAUACUUUUGUUAUUUUUGUUUUCUUUGUCAUAUACAAUUUUCUUUUCGACUUUCUGGUUGGAACUGUUUUAUCUGGAACUAUUGAAACCAGAGAAACUAAAAAUGUGUGACUUUGAAGUUGUGGCUGUGGUCAAAAUGAAAACUGAAACAUUUACUUCAAACCUGAGUCAUGGCUACAGCAAGUGUUACAUAGUUGCUCUUUUGGUGUUUCCCUUGGAAAUAUUUGGUGUAGGUUGUACAUCUCCCUGUUGGUAUUUUUGACCUGUCACUUUCAAGUUUUAAUUCCAUUUCUCCUCCAUCAGUAUUUGUGUGCUAACUAAGGUCAUAUAUCAGAACAAUACCAAGGAGUUAGGUGAGGUUAAGGCCAAGGUACAUCAGGAGUGAGGUACAUUCUGAUCACAUUUGAGCUAUGUGCGAGCAAGUUAAUUGAGUGGUCAAUGACAAUAAACUCAGGUAAUGCUUUCAUGUUGCAAUUAUGUUAAUGUGAUUGCUGCCUUGAGAUCUCAAUCAAAAGGCUAAAGAACAAACACAUUAUGUUUGUUUGGUUACUAAUUUAUGUGGUUACCAAUGUUUUCAACUUAUUGCAUGGAACACGUGCCAAUUGAGAAAAACCUGUGAUAUGCAUAAUAAGAUUUACUUAUAAGCAAUUCACUGCAAGGUUCCAAAUUCUGGUGACACAAGAAAUUACCUGCUGUUGGAAUAAUUUGUUCCAUUCUGUACUGGAGGUUCCAAAUUCUGGUGGCACAGGGAACCACCUGCUGUUGGAAUAACUUUUGUACCAACGGAACAGGCAAGUCGAAAAAAACAUACCUCUACAGUACUCUUCUUUGCUUUUCUCUAGCAUCCUUUCCUUCCCUCCUUCGGUCUUCCAUUGGAGAUGGGAAGUGAUAGAGCUCAAGAGGACAUUCUUGCUCUUAAAUAAAAAAAACAGCCCAAACCACUUUUUUAUUAAAAUUAAUUUAGGUGAGAUUUUAAACUGUGUUUUAAAUAUAAAGAAACUAGUUGGCCUUUUUUUAUCAAUAUAAGUGACUAGUUUGGAAUAUUUUAAUGUUUAAGUAUGACCAAUGCCACUGGUUUUGGGAUCUACUUUUUGCAUCAUGGGUCUUAGCCAAACAAGAUGUUAAUCCUAAACAUUUCAAAACUAAAUGAUUGGUUCAUUGCAUUGACAGACCUGACGAUUACAAUUUUUCUUUGUUAAAAAGAAUAAAGAAAAUAGAUCUUGCAAAGAACACUUGGAAUCCUUUGGCAGAUAUGAAAAAUUCAAGCUUGUUAUGUCACAUUGUAACUUUUGUGAUGAAUAUACUCUAAAUCCAUCUUUAGGUAUUCCACCGUCUGUUUUUACCUUAACUAUUAGAUAAAACUCUGAUGGGCCAAAUCUUGUACCAAUGGAAGAUGAAUCGUAGAGAAACAUUUGGAAUAUUUAUUUAAGCUAUACUGAAAAUUACCAUAUCUACUACAUAUUCUCAUAGUAGAAAAAUUCUUCAUGUUUAUCUUUCAUUUGUAACUACAUUGAGUGUUUUCCCCUGUAGUUAUGGAUGUAAUCUCUUGAAAUAAAAAAGAACAUGUGUAAAAUGGUACCUAACAGUAUUUUUAAAAGCAUUAGACGCCAAAAGACACCAAGGUCCUAAAACACACAGUGCUAGGCUCUCGCCUGAGCGAAGUGAGGCGUUCCAAAAUAUUAAAAUAUAAAAAAUAUAAAUGGAAGAAGGUGGGGGAAGGAGAAGAGUAACCGGUGGCUAUGAAGGAAGGUGGGGAAGGAGAGGGCAAUGGAGGAAGCUGCGGACAAAGGCGGUAGUGGCGGAGGAAGUAGCGGACGAAGGUGAUGGCAGCGGAGGAGGAAGUUGCAGACGAAGAUAGUGGCAGCAACAAAGGAAGCUGCAAAUGAAGACAGUGGCAGAAGAAGCUUCAGACGGAAGCGGCGACGAUAGAGGAAGCUUCGGAUGUAGGGUUAUACUUCAAAGACAAGCUUUGGGGGUGGUGGUGGGUUUUGUGUUAGGGCACUUUAGUUGGUUCAAUUGAACCAACUUGCAUGUUCAAUCGAACCAAGCAUGAACCCGACCCAUUCUUCACUCGAGCACUCGCCCGAGCCCCUCGGUGACUGGGCUCAGGCAAGCACCUAGGCGAUGCUUCAUUGAAACGCCUCUCCCAGAGGUUGUGCGAGGCACUCAGGGCACCAAGCAACAGAAAUAUCAUUCUUACUAUCUACCUAUUUAGUCUUUGUAGACUCUAAGAUUAGUUCAACAUGUAUUUUUAAGUUACAACCCAGAUUAUCGCAAAUAAAUGCAAAACAAAUGGUUAAAGAAUACCUGCUUUCUUCUUUGCUUUGUUUAAAUGUCCACCAAGUGGGUUUUCAUUUUUUGUUUUCUUCUAUGCUGUUUUUUCAAAGUUCUUUUGUUACUUGUUGUCUCUUUUAAGCAACUGUAUGACAGGUGCCUGUCCAGCCAUAGAGUAUUUGUCAAAUAAUUUUCUCUUAUCACAUUUUCCUCCAUUGCAGCUACAAAUUUAAGUCAAAUAAAUAUCCACAUCAUGGUUUCUGGUUUGCUAUAUUUUCAGAGUUCUAAUGCAGAUCUCCCAAGUUCACCAGCUUUAGAUUCUUCACAGUAUGGAUCUCAGACACCUACGAGGGGUAUAAUACUGCAUACAAGUUGCUUUUACAUACACCAAUAUUGUUAGGUUCUGUAAGUGUUUUUCUUUUUCUUUUUGUUUAAUUUUUUUUUAAAACCCAGUUACAUUUUCAAGUAGGAUAUCGUUGGAGUUCUCCUUGUACUGUAUAUUGUUUUCCCUUUUGUUUUUGACAUAUAUGAAAAAAAAGUCAUGUAAUUUACUUUGCAGUGACUGAUAACAAAAGAUGAGCAGAAACAACAAUUUAGGAGAUACACAAAUUUUAUAUUUAAGAUUAAAAAUGUUCGAGGUCUUCACAAUUUCCUGCUAGUAUAUAAUUGAAGCGAACUUCACUUAUCCAAUGAGCAACUAAUGAGAAAGUAACAAUGCUGUCGGAGUUCUUACAACUGUCAUAACUCAUAAGUCAACAUCAAGCAGUCUCCGAAGACAAUGGUACUUGGUUUCAAGAUGGCAAAGAUACAGAUGCAUCCACAUGUACCUUAUUAUAUGUCCAGGAAACACAGUUUGGAGAAGCUUUGAAAAUUUUCAUUUUAUUGAUGAUAAUGCUAUCAUGCUAUGAAUUUUUCUUCUAUAUGUAGAUGAAAGUUGUAGGACUCGAUUAGCUUAGAAUAUAUUAUCAGUAACAUGCGCAAGGAUGAACAUGCCUCACAAAACAUGCUUGCAUGUUGAGUUACGUUUUGGUUAUAUCCUGAUAUCCCACUAAGGUGACUUCUUCUCUAGAAUUGGUAUUUGCAUUAUCACCACUUGAAUUUAGUAUCUUCUCACAUAUGUUUAUCCAGCAUUCACAAAUGAUUCUAAUGUAGGCCAAAUCUUCAGUUUGUUUAAUCUGAUGGAAAAAUCGAUCAAAAUUUCUUCUUGUUCUAGGUCAAAACCUUCUCCUUUGGGUUUAUUAUUGAACAAAAACCAAGAGAAGUAACAAAUGUGUUAGAUGAACACUAUAUGAGAAAAUAAAAACAGGCUUAAGCAACCAGGGUAAGAAGCAUAUCAAUUCUAAUUGAGUCUUUGAGGAAUGCUUAAGGAUGCAUUAUCAAGAUGAAACAAAACCAUUGGAAAAUGUGUAGCUGGAAAUUAUAUGGUGUUCUAGAGAUCUUUUUUCUUAGACUAUAAUUCGUGCAUACUUAUCUGAUUCAAGGUAGCAUUCUGCAGUAGUAGGUAUUGUCAUUAUUACUAGGCAAAUGCUAAAUUUAAAUUGGAUUCGUGGUGGAUGCUUUAAAUGAUAAAUAUUUCUUGAUUACUAAAGUUACAUGUUUCUGUGGUUAGUCAAUAUAAAAUAUGUUGAAAGUUUACCAAUUUAUUCCUCCAAUUGAGGGAUGGAUACUUUUUUACACUUUUACAUAAACAAAAAAUUCAUGGUUCACCAAACCUACAUGCAAGAUUUCAAAUCUCAACAGAUCAGUUUAUAUCAGUCCAACAAAGUAUCAGGAUCGAAACAUAAAGCCUCAUUUUAUCUUUUUCAUUAUUCAAUGAUACUAAGCAAUAUAGGUGAAAAAAACCAUUCAAUGUACUCCUCGCAGACCAGUAGGUAAUCAAAAUCUGCACUAACCUGAUAUUUAAAGCUUUGCUUAUAUGGUUGUUGGAUUAUCAAAUUCUCAUAACAACUAUGGAGGAUGGAUAUGCCUUGUAACGUCAGAUAUUUCUUUUCUAUUGGAUUUACUGUCACAUGAUUAGGUAGUGGUUUUCAUGUGCUAUGCAUCGCAGAUAGUGGAUCUACUGGGCUUCCAUCUUUUACUGAAAUGAAGAACUCAACUGUCUCAGGGAAGCCAGUUGCCAGUGGAUCAACCACACAUCUGUCAGAUGAUGAUGAACUUGAGGAGGAGUUAGAUACAACUAAGAAUGCAGAUGGUGUGCGUAUGAAACGUAUGAAGAGGUAAACACCUCAUGAUAAGAACUUAAUAAGCAUUCAUUCAUGUUGCUACUGGGAGUCAGUCUUUCAGAAUUCAUCUGUAUUUGUUGUGUCAUCUGUUUUUCCCAAGGAUCUAUUCUUGUGUUGUGUUGAGUUUUUUAAAGAAAACUGCUCAGAAAGAUUACUUUUUUUAUGAAGUCUAUUUAAAAGCUUAGAAGACAUAGAAUAAUGGUGGUUGUUGCAUAAUCUGUUUGGGAAACAACUGCAGGUCUAUUUUUUGAUGCUUUAUAUCUACUGGGAUUUGGUUUUGAACUUCAACUGCUUCUUGCUCAGGAUGCUUUCAAAUAGAGAAUCAGCAAGACGUUCAAGAAGGAGAAAACAAGAACAUCUGAAUGAGCUUGAGGCACAAGUAUCAUUUAAUUAGUCAGUUGUUUUUGUAUCUUUAGAAGAUGAGGAAUCUUAUCAACUAAUGACAUUUUUCAUUAGGUCUCACAAUUGAGAGUUGAGAACUCAUCACUUUUAAGGCGUCUUACUAACAUGAACGAGAAGUACAAUGAAGCUGCUGCUGAUAACAGGGUACUAAAAGCAGAUGUGGAAACUUUGAAAGCCAAGGUAAGCUACUUGUCACACUUACGCAUAUGUUCAACUAUCGAGUGAUGUAGAAGAUUUUAAAUUUUUUGUCCUUUUACAUUAACAUGGCCAUUUUCAUUAGUAGGCUUGAGGAUAUUAUUACUCUAGAGUUAUAACAUCUUGUUCAAGUCUUUGAAAGUAGUAACAUAAUUGAUUUCAUCAUCUGAUUCAUUAUAGACUAAAUAGGAAGAAGAGUUAAAUGUACAUGUUUUCAAGAUUAUAUAGUAAAGAAGAAUGGAGCUUAAUUGCAAAGCGAUAAGUUCUGUUCACAUUCACUUGCUCGAAUCAACUUCGCACCAGGGCAAGUGUAUGUAAGAUAGGAUUAAUCCAUGAGGUUAUUAGUUGGUUACCUACCAUACAUGGGAGAGCUCUUUAUUUUUCCUUAGUUGAUUCAUCCUAUAUUCUAUACUCCCUCAUGGAAGUUUUUCUAAUUGCUAACUUCUUUGAAUGAUUGGAAUCAUUUGGCUAUCAUGAACAAAUUAAGUUAGCUCAAGUGGUGGCUCUCUAUGAAAAUUAAUAUGGUAAAGAUUGACUUUUUGAUCGAUCUAACUAAUAUUAUAUGAAGCAACUAUGGUAUGCAGGUGGUACAUUGCCUCAUUCCAUUUGCUGGCCAUUUGAUUAAUUAGGCUGCAUAAGCCUCAUGAGAGGUGGGCAUUUGACCUCCAUUUAUGCCAUAUUUAUACCCAAUGCAAAGAGAAGACCUCAAUCACAACUAAUCAUCAAUCUGAAGCAAUCUGUUGAAGCCGAUGAUAAUUGACCAGGUUUGUGUGGGUGUUUGCUUGAUCUAAGAUGUCUUUUAGGUUUUUUUUUUCUAUGGGGUUUCUUUAUUUCAGGUUUAUUUAUGUUUAAGUAGUUCUCUUUGUGCUUUCUGAGUCAAUAUUUUAGCAAAUAGAAGGGUCAAGUUUUACUUAGCUGAACGCUAAAUAAGCUAAUAUUGACUGCCCAAAUUAGGUAUAAGACAGGACUUUUAAGUUAUUCUGAAAAUACUCCUUUUCAAUGACUGCAUGACAUGAAUUACAAAUUAAGAACUUGAUGUUCCUUUAAUUGGUGCUAAAAGGUCUUAAGGACAGGACUUAUGAACUUAUAUAUGACUGCUUUAAUAGGACCAAGUUCCUUUCUAAAUGUUGUUGGAUGGGAUGGUGCAAAGUGGAGCAAAGUCUUGUAAGAUAUUCACAAUUGUGAGUUUUAGUUGAUCUCUUUAUUAGUAGCCAGGGUAAGAGGUAAAUUGGCAACUAUUGCUUGUUGAAUGUCAUGAAUUAAGCAUUAUAUACUAAUACCGUCUCAUCAUAUUUGAUCCAAUUAAUGCAAGUGGUUGAGACCGUCCCAAUCUCAUAAGUGGUCAUGUCAUCUGUUCUUCCUAUGUUAUUUGUCACCUUAUGUUGUUUAGCUAAUACUUCAAAUGACCUGGGUGAUACAGAUUCCUUAUUGAUACAACAGUAAGGUAAUUAGUAUUUGUUGUGUGUCAUUUCAAAUAAUGUACAGUUGAGAGCACUCUCAAAUAUAUUCUGACAAGUGGAAAGCACAAUCACUUUUUAACUUGUGUGAUAGAUUCUUUUAUCAAUCUAACAAUCUCAUCAGCUGUGAAUAUUUAGCUGUGAGCUGAUACUACUCCAAGCUC
RNAcentral lists this long non-coding RNA (8010 nucleotides) under Musa acuminata (dwarf banana). RNAcentral describes it as "long non-coding RNA (MACU_LNC003805)". Lineage: Eukaryota; Viridiplantae; Streptophyta; Magnoliopsida; Zingiberales; Musaceae. The record is from RNAcentral.